AACGAACGCUGGCGGCAUGCCUAACACAUGCAAGUCGAACGAGACCUUCGGGUAUAGUGGCGCACGGGUGCGUAACGCGUGGGAACCUGCCCUUAGGUUCGGAAUAACUCCCCGAAAGGGGUGCUAAUACCGGAUAAUGUCUUCGGACCAAAGAUUUAUCGCCUUUGGAUGGGCCCGCGUUGGAUUAGCUAGUUGGUAGGGGAAAAGCCUACCAAGGCGAGGAUCCAUAGCUGGUCUGAGAGGAUGAUCGGCCACACUGGGACUGAGACACGGCCCAGACGCCUAAGGGAGGGAGCAGCGGGGAAUAUGGGAAUAUGGGCGGAAGCCUGAUGGAGUAACGCCGCGGGCGGGAUGAAGACCUUCGUGUGGGAAACCUUUUGCGCCGGGGACGAAGCGGGAGGGACGGGAAUUGCUAAAGAAGCACCGGCUAACUACGUG
RNAcentral lists this ribosomal RNA (438 nucleotides) under uncultured bacterium. RNAcentral's name for it is "partial 16S ribosomal RNA". It matches the Rfam family "Bacterial small subunit ribosomal RNA", at positions 29 to 507 of the family's 1533-position model. The record is from RNAcentral.